AGUGGGGAAUUUUGGACAAUGGGCGAAAGCCUGAUCCAGCAAUGCCGCGUGCAGGAUGAAGGCCUUCGGGUUGUAAACUGCUUUUGUACGGAACGAAAAAGCUCCUUCUAAUACAGGGGGCCCAUGACGGUACCGUAAGAAUAAGCACCGGCUAACUACGUGCCAGCAGCCGCGGUAAUACGUAGGGUGCGAGCGUUAAUCGGAAUUACUGGGCGUAAAGCGUGCGCAGGCGGUUAUGUAAGACAGAUGUGAAAUCCCCGGGCUCAACCUGGGAACUGCAUUUGUGACUGCAUGGCUAGAGUACGGUAGAGGGGGAUGGAAUUCCGCGUGUAGCAGUGAAAUGCGUAGAUAUGCGGAGGAACACCGAUGGCGAAGGC
This 377-nucleotide ribosomal RNA is filed under the name Delftia lacustris. RNAcentral's name for it is "bacterial SSU rRNA". It matches the Rfam family "Bacterial small subunit ribosomal RNA", at positions 353 to 722 of the family's 1533-position model. Lineage: Bacteria; Pseudomonadati; Pseudomonadota; Betaproteobacteria; Burkholderiales; Comamonadaceae. The record is from RNAcentral.